AGAGUUUGAUCCUGGCUCAGGACGAACGCUGGCGGCGUGCUUAACACAUGCAAGUCGAACGGAAAGGCCCCUUCGGGGGUGCUCGAGUGGCGAACGGGUGAGUAACACGUGGGUGAUCUGCCCUGCACUUUGGGAUAAGCCUGGGAAACUGGGUCUAAUACCGGAUAGGACUACGGGAUGCAUGUCCUGUGGUGGAAAGCGUUUGCGGUGUGGGAUGGGCCCGCGGCCUAUCAGCUUGUUGGUGGGGUGAUGGCCUACCAAGGCGACGACGGGUAGCCGGCCUGAGAGGGUGUCCGGCCACACUGGGACUGAGAUACGGCCCAGACUCCUACGGGAGGCAGCAGUGGGGAAUAUUGCACAAUGGGCGCAAGCCUGAUGCAGCGACGCCGCGUGGGGGGUGACGGCCUUCGGGUUGUAAACCUCUUUCAGUCACGACGAAGCGCAAGUGACGGUAGUGACAGAAGAAGCACCGGCCAACUACGUGCCAGCAGCCGCGGUAAU
RNAcentral lists this ribosomal RNA (501 nucleotides) under uncultured soil bacterium. Its description in RNAcentral is "bacterial SSU rRNA". It matches the Rfam family "Bacterial small subunit ribosomal RNA", at positions 8 to 524 of the family's 1533-position model. The record is from RNAcentral.